ACUUCAGAAAACUGCCUUGUAGAAAAACAGCAUUUCAGCCACAUUCUCUCAUCAAAUGUGUAUGUGACGCACUCAUCUGUCAGAAAUAUCUCUGAUGGUCGCCAGUGUCUGCAAAUCAGAGGACUCAACAGAUGUCUUUGCUCCGUGGGUAUAAACUUGAGACAUCAGGAAGCUGCAGAUGCAGAACUGGAGGGUAGUGACGUGUUGCUUUCAGAAUACAAAACGAAACUCUAUUUUGAGUCUGAAUUUGAAACACGCGUGUGUGUAUUCUUACUUUCAAGCUCAAGGAUAGACUGUUUAUAACUAGCAUUGAACACAGAGAUUCCUUGGACGCUUUUUGGAACAUUCCUUGUAGCAGUGGAAACCAUUUCGCUGUAGCUCUCUCCUCUUCAUGACGUGCCUCGAAUAAUUCAGACGGCAGAAACGUUGAGAUGGCAAGAGCCUGCNNNNNNNNNNNNNNNNNNNNNNNNNNNNNNNNNNNNNNNNNNNNNNNNNNNNNNNNNNNNNNNNNNNNNNNNNNNNNNNNNNNNNNNNNNNNNNNNNNNAACGUUGAGAUGGCAAGAGCCUGCCUUUGAGGCUGCAUUUCCUCCCAGUGGCUGAAGUAGCUCACUCAGGUCCUUCAAGGAACUCUCAGUGAAUACAUGACCUCAGGUCUCAGGAGGAGGGACCCUCGGAAAGCUCUGAAUCCUCCCCAGUUGUUAGAGACAUGACUUGCUUUAAAUAGCAGAUGUUUCUGGAAAGUUGGCAAAUAUAGUUUUUGUGAUUGACGUAAUACCUCAAAUUAUGCCAGGGAGGUUUUCUUUAAAUAGAAGAACCUAUUGUGACUCCUCUUGUGAAUAUUAACUCUCUCAUCUCUUUGGAUUAAAAUUAAAUUUUUGUAAAAGGAGGAGGGGCAGGGAUGCAUUUAAACAACCAACAAGUUUGUUGGAUGGAAAUGCCUGCAUUUUUGUGUACAUGUUUAUGAUGAAACUGAUGACCCUCUGGUCACCUUUUCUUUUUUAAUAAUGUCUUAAUUUUUUUAUGUGGGCUAUCUUUUAAAAGUUUUUAUUGAAUUUAUUACAACAUUGCUUCUGUUUUAUGUUUUGAUUUUUUUGGCCUCAAGGCUUGUGGGAUCUUAGCCUCCUGAACAGGGCUCAAACCCACACCCCUUCAUUGUUACGUGAAGUCUUAACCACUGGAUUGGCAGGGAAGUCCCUCAUCACCUCUUCUUAAAAACAAACCCAAACUCACCACACAUACCCACUUACCUGCUUGCAGAGCCACAUCAGGCCCGGGUGCAGACUUGCCCUUAGGUGAACUUUGUGAUGCCUCAUCUCAUGACAUCCUUGUGACACCAAUUUGAAGUGUCUGGUGGCCCCAUUGUACAGAUGUGGAUGUAAGGGCUCUAGCUCGUGUUUGGUGGGGAUCACGCAUAAAAUGCCCCAGUGCCUCAGAGCCUGCGUUCUGAUGAGGAGAAGGACCACAGAUCAGUAAAGGAGCAGGUCCACACUGGUGACAGUGCUCAAGGUUUUACAGCUGCUAAGGGGAGAAUUAGGAACUUUGUCCCAUCAUCCCCCCCUUCCGAGGUGAAGGAAUCGUAGGGAAGUGGUCCCUGCCCAUAGGGACCUUGUGACCCAGUUGGGGGCGGAUUUAGCAGAGCUGAUGUUGUGUCAGAAUGGGGGCUGCUGGGAAGAUGAGUCAGUGCCGAAUGGAGUUGUGGGAGGAGAGAUUGCUGUGUGCUGGGAAAUUUGGAAAAGGAUCAAAAUAAGAGAUCGGGUUUGAGCCAAGCCUUAAGUUGCUCUCUCCUUGCCCAAUUUUUCUUGGAAAUACUUGGAAAUGAAAUUCUGUUGUCUUGCUGCCCAGUUCUUUGGUGGAGACUUCUUUUUUUUAAAUGAGAGAUGUAAGGGUUUCCUUCCUUUCCUCCACAGCAGGAGCCAUGCAGAUGUGUUAAAAGUCAACAUACACAUGGCACCAUAGAGCCACGUCGCCUCAGACCCAGCCCUGUGCUUUCUCUGGACACUGUCGUCUGAGGGUUGUCCAUGGCAGCUGUGAACUCAGUUUCCCUUGGGGACACAGUCGCACCCCAUGGCCGG
This 2072-nucleotide long non-coding RNA is filed under the name Capra hircus (goat). RNAcentral describes it as "lncRNA (ENSCHIG00010019057.1)". The record is from RNAcentral. Lineage: Eukaryota; Metazoa; Chordata; Mammalia; Artiodactyla; Bovidae.